RNAcentral lists this ribosomal RNA (433 nucleotides) under uncultured bacterium. RNAcentral describes it as "partial 16S ribosomal RNA". It matches the Rfam family "Bacterial small subunit ribosomal RNA", at positions 29 to 507 of the family's 1533-position model. The record is from RNAcentral.
AACGAACGCUGGCGGCAUGCCUAACACAUGCAAGUCGAACGAGACCUUCGGGUCUAGUGGCGCACGGGUGCGUAACGCGUGGGAACCUGCCCUUAGGUUCGGAAUAACUCCCCGAAAGGGGUGCUAAUACCGGAUAAUGUCUUCGGACCAAAGAUUUAUCGCCUUUGGAUGGGCCCGCGUUGGAUUAGCUAGUUGGUAGGGUAAAAGCCUACCAAGGCGACGAUCCAUAGCUGGUCUGAGAGGAUGAUCAGCCACACUGGGACUGAGACACGGCCCAGACUCCUACGGGAGGCAGGAGUGGGGAAUAUUGGACAAUGGGCGAAAGCCUGAUGCAGCAAGGCCGCGUGAGUGAUGAAGGCAUUAGGGUUGUAAAGCUCUUUUAACCGGGAUGAUAAUGACAGUACCGGGAGAAUAAGCUCCGGCUAACUCCGUG